UGGGGUAUGGUGUAAUGGUAACACUGCAGAUUCUGGUCCUGCCUUUUCUGGUUCGAGUCCGGAUACCCCAA
Transfer RNA from Prevotella sp. CAG:5226, 71 nucleotides. It matches the Rfam family "tRNA". From Rfam's summary of the family: Transfer RNA (tRNA) molecules are approximately 80 nucleotides in length. Lineage: Bacteria; Pseudomonadati; Bacteroidota; Bacteroidia; Bacteroidales; Prevotellaceae. The record is from Rfam.